This 8241-nucleotide long non-coding RNA is filed under the name Populus tremula. Its description in RNAcentral is "long non-coding RNA (PTRE_LNC001659)". Lineage: Eukaryota; Viridiplantae; Streptophyta; Magnoliopsida; Malpighiales; Salicaceae. The record is from RNAcentral.
ACCGUGAUCCAAUCAAAAUAUUAAAUCCUUCUUUAUUCUUUGCCUGUCUUAUUAUAGAAAAACCUUCACAAAUAAAACACACACCACACAUUCACUUUCAAGCUUCAUGAGCUUGAUAUAAUUUUAAAAAUAAAAUUUUUAACCCAAUUCCAAGGCUUUGAUAAAUUAGUUAUUAAUUCCCAGAAUAUAUGUAAAAACAUGUUCUUACAUUUUCAUAAAAAAUACAACAUGACUUUAUCUAUCCUUAGAUAUUUGUGCAUGUAAAAUUAAACAAUUACUUCUUUUUGUCCUUUUUUAUUUUUUUAAUUCAAUAACAUAAAAUUAAAAAAAAAAAGAACACCAACACACACACACACACACACACUCCUUUUUUAUUAUUUUUCACUAAGCUCACCCCACACCUCACUUUUACAUAUUACCAAAUAACAAAAAUUAAAAAUUCAUCCAAACAAAGCCUUAAAAAUUUCUAAAAUUACAGAAAAGACCCCCAAAAAAUACAGAACCGCAGGGAAGCCUUCUGGGAUCAGCCGGACUAGUGGCGGCGCGUGGAUUUCACGCACCGCCGCCACUGGCGGCGCGUGGAUCCGCGUGCCGUCGCCGGGAAGACCAGCUAGUGGAUCGAGGUCGUCUCCUUCUCCUCUUUCCGCUCGUACCGGCGGUGACCUGCAAACAAGAAAAAGGAAACGCAGGCAGUUCAUUUUAAUCCAUUUCUGUCCAGUUCUUGGAUUUUUCUUUUCUUCUCCGUUUUGGAUCUGCUUCUUUACAGAUCUGUUCUUUUCGUUUCUCCAGGUGGCGGUAGGCUCUGAGGUCACAGCAUCUUCUCCUCCUCGUCCGGUGCUAGAUCUGGCAGUUGCUCCGUGGCUGUUGAAGCUGUUGUUCGGGGAGCUCCUACGAUUUCAUGGCUGUGGUGGCCAAGGGGAGCUGGCGGCUGAGGAAGGGAAGACCUGCUGGCUGAAGAAGGAAAUCGUGAGUCUGAGGAGAUGGGAAUGGCUCUAGUUCUGUGAGCUGGAGGAUGGCAGAUCGGUGAGGAUGGAGAGAAAGGGUCUUUUGGUUCUGCUGUCUUUCCCUCUUUCGUUAUUGCCGCUGCUGUCUUUGGUUGUUGAAGGUGAUUCUGUCUUCGGUGACCGAUUUGGUGAGUUUGGGUGCAGUAGGUAGUGGCUGUCUUGGCUGAGAGGAGGAGACUCCUUCGGGUCAUAGGGGAAGGAAAAGCUGUUGGCGGGCCAGAAGCAAGGAAACCGUCAUGGAGUGGGAGCAGCGGCUUGUGAAAAAUCCAAAGGGAAAAGGGGCCGGUUGGAGUUUUUUUGAAGGAGAAGGCUGCGGCUACAGUCUUGGAUAAAAUAGGGAGAAGGGAGUAGAUUCCCAUGGUGGAGAGGGUUUCUCUUGGUCGCUGCCCGGAGGUUGUUGGACGGGUGCUGCCAAAUCUCCAGCGAGGCAGCUGGUUCGGGUGGUCCUUCUUUGGCAAAGGAAGGGUGGUGGCAGCCGGUUCAAGAGAACCGGCUGAGGGAGAAGAGAAAAUAAAUCAAAAGGGGAGCUGGCAGCUGUUAUCGGAGAAGAAGGAAAAAAUUUCCCAAAAGGGGGCGGUCCCCUGGCGGCUGCUUUCAUUAGGGAAGAAGAAAAGUUUAGUUUUUUAAGGUUCUCUCUUUCCUCCUAAAAUUACAAAAUGAACCCCCCUUUACUGACUUUUGUAAGCUGCUAUUUAUAGGCAAGGCAUUUUUUCGGAUCUCAAAAUUGAUCUCUCAAUUUUUCAAUCAAUUCACUUGGUAAAAAUUAAAUUUGGUCUUAAAAUUUCAAUCUUUUCAAUUAAGUCCAAAUUAGGUUCCCAAACAUAAUUUUUCACCAAUUAAGCCCCAAAUAAAAUUAAUUUGACCCAUUUAAAGUAUAAUUAAGUCUUUGCACUUAAUUAAAUCCUUCAAUUGGACCCAAAUUAAUUCUUAAACAUAAUUAAAAUUUAAUUUGGCCCAUGAUUAAAUCAAAUUGGCCCAUUAAAAAUUUAAUUAUGUCAUUGGACUUAAUUUUUAUGCAAAUUCAUCCAAUAAUCAUUUAAUUUGACCUUCGAAUAUGCAUUUAAUUUGACCUUUGAUUUUUGCCUAUUUUUGCAGUCCUUUUUUAUCAGCUUUCCUCCACAUUGCCAGCCUUUAUUUAAUUUUUAUUUUUUAUUUUGAAAAAAAAAUUUUGGGGAAUAACCCAAAUUGGGUUAUGACAGUUGCCCCCCUCUUUACAAUGCUUAUGAUAGAAAGUCUCGUAGGAGACUUAGAUAGUAAGCGUUGUAAAGAAGAAAAAAAAGGAAGAUUUUUUGUUUUUUUUUGAAAAUUCAAAGAUUUUGAAAUGGUCGAAUUGUCAUGGGUGACCUACCCGGGUGAAAAACACGAAGAUGUUUUAAAAGGUGAAAAAUACAGAGAUUUUUCAAAGAGGUGAAAAAUAAAGAUUUUUCAAAGUGGUGAGAAAUGCGAAGAUUUCUCAAAGUGGUGAAAAAUGAAAGAUUUUUCAAAGUGGUGAAAAAUGCAAAAUUUUUCAAAGUGGUUUGUUGUAAUGGGCAACCGGCCCAAGAUGGAAAAGGUUGAAAAUGCAAAGAUUUUCAAAGAUGAAAAAUGCAAAGAUUUUUCAAAGUGGUGAGAAAUGCGACGAUUUCUCAAAGUGGUGAAAAUGCAAAGAUUUUUCAAAGUGGUUUGUUGUAAUGGGAAACCGGCCCAAGAUGGAAAAUGAAAAGAGUUGGUGAAAAAUGCAAAGAUUUUUCAAAGUGGUUGAGUAAUGGCGAACCGGCCCAGAAAAGGUGAAAAAUACAAGAUUUUUCAAAGAGGUGAAAAAUGCAGAGAUUUUUCAAAGUGGUGAAAAAUAGAAGAUUUCUCAAGUGGUGAAAAAUUUUGGAGGUGGUGAGAAAUGCAAAGAUAUCUCAAAAUGGUUUUAUUGUUAUGGGCAAUCGGCCCAAAUGGAAGAAUUUUGAAGGUGGGGAGAAAUGCAAGGACUUCUCAAAAUGGUUUUAUUGUUAUGGGCAACCGGCCCAAAUGGAAGAAGUUUGAAGGUUGGGGAGAAAUGCAAGGAUUUCUCAAAAUGGGUUUCAUUGUUAUGGGCAACCGACCCAAAUGGAAAAGUUUGAAGUGGGGAGAAAUGCAAGGAUUUCUCAAAAUGGUUUCAUUGUUAUGGGCAACCGGCCCAAAUGGAAGAUGAAAAGAGUUUUGAAAGAGAUCUGAUUAUAAUGGGUGACCUACCCGGGCAAAAAGGCAAAAUGUCUGAAAGGGACGACAUGAUAGGACUCGAUGGGAACGAGGGCUGAAGAGCGCACUGAAAGGAGGUAGGGAGAAAAACACACUACCUAAGAGGUGAGUGCUCCAAGGCGCACUCUAAAGGACGCAGGGUUGGAAAACGCAUUACCUAAAAGGUGAGGGCUCAAAGCCACACUCAAAAGAGAUAGGGUUGGAAAACACACUACCUAAAGUGGUUGAGGCUCUAAAACGCACUCAAAAGAGGCAGGGUUGGAAAACACACUACCUAAGGUGAGGUCUCGAAGAGCACUCGAAGUAAGGUAAGGAGGUAAGGUUGGAAAACGCACUACCUAAGUGGUGAUGGCCCUAAGGCGCACUUAAAAGGAUAGGGUUGGAAAAACACUACCUAAAGUUGAUGGCUAAGGCGCACUUAAAAGGAGAUAGGUUGGAAAACCACACUACCUAAAGAGUUGAAGGCUCAAAGGCACUUAAAAGAGAUAGGGUUAGAAAACACACUACCUAAGGGUGGGCUAAGGCGCACUUAAAAGGAGAUAGGGUUGGAAAACGCACUACCUAAAGUGGUGAGGGCUCGAAGGAGCUCUCAAAAAGGAGGUAAGGUGGAAAACGCACUACCUAAGGUGUGAGGGCUCAAAGGUGCACUCGAAAAGAGGUAAGGAGGUAAGGUUGGAAAACGCACUACCUAAGUGGUUGAUGGCCCUAAGGCGCACUUAAAAGGAGAUGGGUUAAAAACGCACUACCUAAGGGUGAGGCUCUAAGGCGCACUCAAAAGGAGGUAGGGUCAGAAAACACACUACCUAAGUGGUUGAGGGCUCUAAGGCGCACUAAAAAGGAGGUAGGUUAGAAAACACAUUACCUAAGGGUGAGGGCUAAGAGCCUAAAAAAGGUAGGGUUGGAAAACACACUACCUAAAAGGUUAGGGCUCGAAGGCGCACUAAAAGAGGUAGGGUUAGAAAACACACUACCUAAGGGUGAGGGCUAAGACGCCUCAAAAGGAGGUAGGGUUGGAAAACACACUACCUAAAGGUUAGGGCUCGAAGGCAACUAAAAAAGAGGUAGGGUUAGAAAACACACUACCUAAGGUGAGUGCUCAAGGAGCUCUCAAAAGAGGUAGGGUUGGAAAACACACUACCUAAGAGGGUUAGGCUCAAGCCACUAAAAAAAGGUGAUGGUGAGACACCGAUCUGUCAAGGAUGAAAGUAAUGCAUCAUGAUCAAUAUGCAUGUAUACUUACCUGAGAAUAUAGGUCCCCUUUUCUUCAUGGAGUUCUCCUUUUCUCAAAAGUUUGAGUCUCUGAUAGUAAGCUUUGAUGGCUUUUGUCCCCUUGCUUACUCGAGAAAUAUCUUACGAUCUUGGCCUCUAGGAAAGACUUGAUGCCAUCAUUUCUUUGUUCUCCGCCCUUUUAUCUCAAGGGUUGCCAAUUUUGCCCAAUUGUUUCUUAGAAAGGGAAUCAUGGAGCCAGCUCUACCAGAUGUUUUUGAUUGCCCCUAGCUUGAUCAUGCCCCCAAGUAUUCAAUUCGGGUUUGGGGAUGAGGCUAUGUGAAGGAAGGUUUGACAAGGAGUUGUUUUCAUGCAGAAUUUUUGGAAUUUCAAAGCUAUUCCAAACACAGAAAUCAUUUUGACAUCGAUUCAAAGCAAACUCAUUCUGAAGAAAUUCAAGUGAUUCCUAUGGAGAGGUUUUCAGAAGUGAUGAAAACUUUUUUUGUUUUGAUUUUUGGUGAAAAAUAUGAAGUGACAUUUGGUUGGUCACAAAAGGUUGAAAUUUCAAUUUGAGGGUUAUUGAGAACCGUUGGUGAAAAUGUGAAGAACACGAAGUGACAUCUGGUUGGUCACAAAAGGUUUAAAUUUCAAUUUGAGGGUUAUUGAGAACCGUUUUCAAAGCAUUCAUUUUAUUUGCAUGAAUAAUGAUUUUUUUCGCAUGAGAAAGCACUGCCUACCGAUCCAGAUUGCUUGCCUUUGAUCAGAAAGGGCUUGAUUAGGCACGUAAUGUAGGCUUGGGCUUUUGGCUAUGAAGAAAAUGAUAUUUGUAGGCUCAAAAGGUGUUUAAGGGACUUUAAGACUAAGGAUCACUAGUGCUUAUAUCCCAAACUCUUUUGUUCAUACAUUUAUGGACCUUGGAAUUGAUUUGUAAAAUGGUCCACGGUGCCCCCCAGUGUUGGGCUUGGGCUCUUUCUCUUUGUUUUUGUUUUCUUCAUUUGAUUUUGAGCAUCAUUGCAUUGGCCUUGUUUUUUUUUUGCUCAAAAUUUUUGGAUCCUUUGGAUUUUUCUUCAUGCCCCCUAGCUUUGUAUGGGCACCUUUGAUGAUUGAGAAUUUUCUUUUAUGCCCCCCAGUAUUGUUUGGGCACUUUCAUCGUUGAAGACUUUUUCAUGCCCCAAGAGUUAUUUGGGCACUUUCAAUCAUUAUGGAUUUUUUUGCACUUGCCCCCCAGUGUAGGGUGUGAUCCUAGCCAAGGUUAUUUUUCAAGAAAAAUUUAUUAGGCUCAAAAGGGGACUGCAAAUGAUAUAUUUCAGCCUUGUGAAAGGAUUAUCAAAGAUGGCCUUUCUUCAUCUCAAAUGCAUGCAUUUAGGAUCGGUAAGCCUUGCUUUCAUGCGAGUAUGCAAGUGAUUUCUCAUUAUUCAUGCAAUCAAAACUCAGCUUUUGGAGUCACUUCAUGUGUGUUUUUUUUUUUGGUUUUCUAGGUGUAUGGUUACCUCUCUAAGGAAUCACCUGAAUUUCCAGAACUCGUUUGUUUCGGACAAACAUCAACAUGAUUUCUGUUUUUGUACUAAACUUUGAAUUCCCAAAAAUCCUUAUGAAACAUGCAUGUUUUGGGAAGAAAAGGGAAACGCACCACAAGAUUUUGGGCGCUGGUUUCAUGCUUAAAGGUUAUGCUCAAUGUGUUAUUUGCAUGAAACAACAAAAAUGAAGGCAUGUGAUGAACAGCAAAACACAUGAUCAUAACAAGAAAGGCUCAGUGGACAGGGAAAGUCUUGUGGAAUUUUGAGCCAAAUUACCAACAAAAACUGGAAUAGGUUGAAACAAAAAAAAUCAAGUUUUUGGAGGCAUGAUCAAACAGAGGUAGUUAUUUUGGCAGAGCAAGAACAGGCUCUAUUCUGCAACGGUGAUGCAAUUCACCUUCAAAUUGUGUUGAGGCUCUUGAUCAUGUGGGCCCCCAAUUUCUUCGGGUUGAGUCUUUGUUGGGGCUUUGAACAAAAAUGACUGGCCGAUUGGAAGGACCUUCACUAGAGGCAUUUCUAAGUGUUUGCUCGAGUAAGCUAGUGAGGCGAGCCACAUUUGCUUUCAGAGACUCUAACUCUUCUUGGAAAUGGAUGCUGCGGUGAGCACGCUCUUUGUCUCCAAUGUUUUUCUCUCAAAAUCAGGUGUUGUAGACUCGGAGGGGACCUACCUUUCAUCCAGAUGCAUGCAUGCCAAAUGUAUGAAUAUGAAGUCUAUAUGAUGAACUCGCCCUUCGAGGGGUGACAUAUGAUCGUAACUCUUGUAUGAUGGAACAAGAAUCAUGAUUCUUGCCCAAACUCUACAAUGAAAAUUUUUGGAGUGACGGUCAUUCUACCACCCACAAGGGUUCGCCCCGAUGCAAAUAAUUGAUAGCACAUACAUCCUAAGGACAAGUUCUAUUCACUAUGUGAACAUGGGUAGGUUUUCUACCUGGUCUCAAAAGGGUCUAUGAACUGCCUAGUGACCACCUCACGUGAAGGCAGUGUAGGGGUUUACAUGGAAUGGUUGGGGCACCAUGUGACCGCCAUUACCGAGUAAACACUCAGCUCAUAGUUGGAUGUUUCACAAAUCUAAACCCCGACUGAAAGUCAUGAGGUAGACUGCUACUCCCCACCUAACUUAGAGGCUUGUGUGUGCUUUCAAAAAUAAAUACAAGUGAUGCAUGAAACAAUUCUAAAAAUGCAUGCAUAAAAUAAAACAAGACAAAAAUGGCAAAACUUAAACACUUGAAUGCACAAAGCUUAGUCCAAUAUUGUCAGAAACAACACCUCCCCAGUGGAGUCGCCAUUCUGUCGCACGUCGAAAAAAUCCCGCAGCCGGCAAUCGAGGUUAGUCCAAUUUAUGUCUUGUUGUUGUUGCAUUUGCUUGAAUUUGUUUGUUAGGAGUCGCCACCUAGUAUUUAAUUGAGGUUACUAGGAAACCCUGGUGGACUGGUCAUGGUCAGAGAUUCACGGGUAAGGAACUUAUUGUGGUUAGGGAAGGUAUUAGCACCCCUAACGCACCCUACCUGAGGUAAGCUGCUCCGUGGACUUGAUGUGUUAAAGAAGUUUUAAAAUUUUUUUCUUUUCAUCAGAUUUUAGAAAUACAACUUUUCGUACAAGUUUGUACUUCUACACCGUGAUCCAAUCAAAAUAUUAAAUCCUUCUUUAUUCUUUGCCUGUCUUAUUAUAGAAAAACCUUCACAAAUAAAACACACACCACACAUUCACUUUCAAGCUUCAUGAGCUUGAUAUAAUUUUAAAAAUAAAAUUUUUAACCCAAUUCCAAGGCUUUGAUAAAUUAGUUAUUAAUUCCCAGAAUAUAUGUAAAAACAUGUUCUUAUAUUUUCAUAAAAAAUACAACAUGACUUUAUCUAUCCUUAGAUAUUUGUGCAUGUAAAAUUAAACAAUUACUUCUAUUUGUCCUUUUUUAUUUUUUUAAUUCAAUAACAUAAAAUUAAAAAAAAAAAAAGAACACCAACACACACACACACACACACACACUCCUUUUUUAUUAUUUUUCACUAAGCUCACCCCACACCUCACUUUUACAUAUUACCAAAUAACAAAAAUUAAAAAUUCAUCCAAACAAAGCCUUAAAAAUUUCUAAAAUUACAGAAAAGACCCCCAAAAAAUACAGAACCGCAGGGAAGCCUUCUGGGAUCAGCCGGACUAGUGGCGGCGCGUGGAUUUCACGCACCGCCGCCACUGGCGGCGCGUGGAUCCGCGUGCCGUCGCCGGGAAGACCAGCUAGUGGAUCGAGGUCGUCUCCUUCUCCUCUUUCCGCUCGUACCGGCGGUGACCUGCAAACAAGAAAAAGGAAACGCAGG